Molecule: ribosomal RNA, 272 nt
Filed under: uncultured bacterium
Lineage: Bacteria
Description: partial 16S ribosomal RNA
Rfam family: Bacterial small subunit ribosomal RNA
Source: RNAcentral
UACGUAGGGGGCAAGCGUUGUCCGGAAUUAUUGGGCGUAAAGCGCGCGCAGGCGGUCAAUUAAGUCUGGUGUUUAACCUCGGGGCUCAACCCCGAGUCGCACUGGAAACUGGUUGACUUGAGUGCAGAAGAGGAAAGUGGAAUUCCACGUGUAGCGGUGAAAUGCGUAGAGAUGUGGAGGAACACCAGUGGCGAAGGCGACUUUCUGGGCUGUAACUGACGCUGAGGCGCGAAAGCGUGGGGAGCAAACAGGAUUAGAAACCCCCGUAGUCC